UCGUCUGUAAGGAAGUUGUUUAAAUGUUUACACGACAAACUACACUUCAGUCUGGUCAGUGACACGUUUCUAUGUGCUAAUUAAAUGACCGUAAUUAAAGGUGCAUUAUGGGUCAGUGGAGACCUGUGUCUAACCUGAGAGAUCAGGCGUCUCGACAGCCUCCUGCGGUGGUGUUUCUCUUCAGUCUGCUGAUGCUAUCCAUAACAUUCGUCUGCGUCGGACUUUACUCUCAGAGUCACGACAUCAACAACCCGGACAUCAGCACUGACUGGAACCGGGUUCUGGGUUCUGUUGCGAGCUUUAAGUUCUGCACUCAUCUGAAUGACUCUGAUUUGCUGCCGGAGGAAGAUUCUCCUCCAAUGGUGGAGCAUAAAGUUCAGACCAAUAUCUCCACCAGGACCACUCAUGUUUCUUUGCUGGUGCCACUUGUGUUUACUGGGGACGUCCCGGAUGGGGCUGGCAUCAGUGUCACAGUGAUGGGCAGCCAGCUGGGCAUGAAAGGAGCCGCAGCGAAAGAAUCAGUCAACAUCUCUCUUCUCCUGCGCACUGAUGUUCCCAAUAAUCAAUCUCAUGGUGGGACGACGACUGCUCAAAUCCUGACCUGUAUCCAUUUCACUGCCCUGACCCAUGUUCUGCCUCAGACUCCGACUCCUCCAGAAUGUCCAGCGGUGGAGGAUGGAGAAAAGAGCGAAUCACCUGUCAGAGCUGUUGCUAUACAGUCAUACAAACACAAUUACCCACAAUGCUUUAGUCUGGAGUACACACCAGAUCCGCGGCUGACCGUCCUGCUAACCAAGGAUGAAAAGGCCUUGUGUAGAUUUCACCUGCUGCUGGUCAGUGCUGCGCUGCUGAUCGUCUGCUUCCUCAUGGGUCUCUGCGGGACGUUUUCUUCACGCUCACCGCGCUCCUACCAGGGGAAUGAUCUCCAAAAGCAUCGACAUCUGCAAUAGUCACAUAGCUGGUUCUGCAAAGUCGGGAUUAUUGUUGACCAGGAGCCACAAAUUGGAAUCUCUGCUGACCCCAUGAAAACCAUUUCCAGUGUCCUGAAUUGAGAGUGUACCUUCAGAAGACAUGAAGAUGCCUGCUCCUGAAAUAAUAUAUGAACAUUUGGGUAUUUAACAGUAAUUGUCCAUCAUGAACCUGCAAACAAUUAUGCAGGUUGCAUGCAGUGCCAUUUAUAGAAGAAUCUACAUGUGCCUUUAAGUUUGGUUUACUGGUGUCAAAUGAUUAAUCGCAUACAAGAUAAAAGUUUCUACUUGCAUACAUACACAUAUAUAUA
RNA transcript from Danio aesculapii, 1279 nucleotides. RefSeq lists it as uncharacterized. The record is from RefSeq and is a predicted model, not a curated record. The transcript has 8 exons. Lineage: Eukaryota; Metazoa; Chordata; Actinopteri; Cypriniformes; Danionidae.